GAUGAACGCUGGCGGCGUGCCUAAUACAUGCAAGUCGAGCGAACGGACGAGAAGCUUGCUUCUCUGAUGUUAGCGGCGGACGGGUGAGUAACACGUGGAUAACCUACCUAUAAGACUGGGAUAACUUCGGGAAACCGGAGCUAAUACCGGAUAAUAUUUUGAACCGCAUGGUUCAAAAGUGAAAGACGGUCUUGCUGUCACUUAUAGAUGGAUCCGCGCUGCAUUAGCUAGUUGGUAAGGUAACGGCUUACCAAGGCAACGAUGCAUAGCCGACCUGAGAGGGUGAUCGGCCACACUGGAGCUGAGACACGGUCCAGACUCCUACGGGAGGCAGCAGUAGGGAAUCUUCCGCAAUGGGCGAAAGCCUGACGGAGCAACGCCGCGUGAGUGAUGAAGGUCUUCGGAUCGUAAAACUCUGUUAUUAGGGAAGAACAUAUGUGUAAGUAACUGUGCACAUCUUGACGGUACCUAAUCAGAAAGCCACGGCUAACUACGUGCCAGCAGCCGCGGUAAUACGUAGGUGGCAAGCGUUAUCCGGAAUUAUUGGGCGUAAAGCGCGCGUAGGCGGUUUUUUAAGUCUGAUGUGAAAGCCCACGGCUCAACCGUGGAGGGUCAUUGGAAACUGGAAAACUUGAGUGCAGAAGAGGAAAGUGGAAUUCCAUGUGUAGCGGUGAAAUGCGUAGAGAUAUGGAGGAACACCAGUGGCGAAGGCGACUUUCUGGUCUGUAACUGACGCUGAUGUGCGAAAGCGUGGGGAUCAAACAGGAUUAGAUACCCUGGUAGUCCACGCCGUAAACGAUGAGUGCUAAGUGUUAGGGGGUUUCCGCCCCUUAGUGCUGCAGCUAACGCAUUAAGCACUCCGCCUGGGGAGUACGACCGCAAGGUUGAAACUCAAAGGAAUUGACGGGGACCCGCACAAGCGGUGGAGCAUGUGGUUUAAUUCGAAGCAACGCGAAGAACCUUACCAAAUCUUGACAUCCUUUGACAACUCUAGAGAUAGAGCUUUCCCCUUCGGGGGACAAAGUGACAGGUGGUGCAUGGUUGUCGUCAGCUCGUGUCGUGAGAUGUUGGGUUAAGUCCCGCAACGAGCGCAACCCUUAAGCUUAGUUGCCAUCAUUAAGUUGGGCACUCUAAGUUGACUGCCGGUGACAAGCCGGAGGAAGGUGGGGAUGACGUCAAAUCAUCAUGCCCCUUAUGAUUUGGGCUACACACGUGCUACAAUGGACAAUACAAAGGGCAGCGAAACCGCGAGGUCAAGCAAAUCCCAUAAAGUUGUUCUCAGUUCGGAUUGUAGUCUGCAACUCGACUACAUGAAGCUGGAAUCGCUAGUAAUCGUAGAUCAGCAUGCUACGGUGAAUACGUUCCCGGGUCU
This 1372-nucleotide ribosomal RNA is filed under the name uncultured bacterium. Its description in RNAcentral is "bacterial SSU rRNA". It matches the Rfam family "Bacterial small subunit ribosomal RNA", at positions 28 to 1381 of the family's 1533-position model. The record is from RNAcentral.